This 491-nucleotide ribosomal RNA is filed under the name uncultured bacterium. Its description in RNAcentral is "partial 16S ribosomal RNA". It matches the Rfam family "Bacterial small subunit ribosomal RNA", at positions 29 to 507 of the family's 1533-position model. The record is from RNAcentral.
AGUGAACGCUGGCGGUAGGCCUAACACAUGCAAGUCGAACGGCAGCACAGUAAGAGCUUGCUCUUACGGGUGGCGAGUGGCGGACGGGUGAGGAAUACAUCGGAAUCUACUUUUUCGUGGGGGAUAACGUAGGGAAACUUACGCUAAUACCGCAUACGACCUACGGGUGAAAGCAGGGGAUCUUCGGACCUUGCGCGAUUGAAUGAGCCGAUGUCGGAUUAGCUAGUUGGCGGGGUAAAGGCCCACCAAGGCGACGAUCCGUAGCUGGUCUGAGAGGAUGAUCAGCCACACUGGAACUGAGACACGGUCCAGACUCCUACGGGAGGCAGCAGUGGGAAUAUUGGACAAAGGGCGCAAGCCUGAUCCAGCCAUACCGCGUGGGUGAAGAAGGCCUUCGGGUUGUAAAGCCCUUUUGUUGGGAAAGAAAAGCAGCAGGUUAAUACCCCGCUGUUCUGACGGUACCCAAAGAAUAAGCACCGGCUAACUUCGUG